This is a non-coding RNA of Pelobates cultripes (western spadefoot toad), 334 nucleotides long. The record is from the annotation of a GenBank genome assembly. NCBI's taxonomy places the organism in Eukaryota, Metazoa, Chordata, Amphibia, Anura, Pelobatidae.
CUGCGCUCAGUCGGAUAAAGUGCCCACUGAUUACACUUUUAUGGGCCUCCCAGCAAUGAAUGAAUGAGGUGAAGUUGAAUUCUUCAUUUAACCCCUUUGUUGCCAUUGUUUGAAAUUUAAAGAUAAAUCUUGAUUCUUUUUGGAGUAACUUAAAAUUGCCUUUUAAUGAAUUAAGGAUUAAUUUUUCUAUGGCCUGAAAUCUCAGUUGAACUGAAUCAGCGUUAUGUUGAUGAGAUGUUUGGCAACAGGAGUGAGAUUGCCAGAACUGGUGGUUGAGCCGAUAUAUUGAAGUAUACGUCGUCUGAAUUGUUGAUAGGUUUUGCCUAUCUAUUGU